GUAGGCGGGCAAGCGUUGUCCGGAUUUAUUGGGCGUAAAGAGCGUGUAGGCGGUUAGGUAGGUCCGUUGUGAAAACUCGAGGCUCAACCUCGAGACGCCGAUGGAAACCAUCUGACUAGAGUCCGGAAGAGGAGAGUGGAAUUCCUGGUGUAGCGGUGAAAUGCGCAGAUAUCAGGAAGAACACCCGUGGCUAAGGCGGCUCUCUAGUACGUGACUGACGCUGAGACGCGAAAGCGUGGGGAGCGAACAGGAUUAGAUACCCUGGUAGUCCACGCCGUAAACGAUGGGUGCUAGGUGUAGGGGGUGUCGACUCCCUCUGUGCCGAAGCUAACGCAUUAAGCACCCCGCCUGGGGAGUACGGCCGC
Molecule: ribosomal RNA, 365 nt
Filed under: uncultured bacterium
Lineage: Bacteria
Description: bacterial SSU rRNA
Rfam family: Bacterial small subunit ribosomal RNA
Source: RNAcentral